CCAAAAAUCAUGCAUUUUCUAUUGAAGUUUGACAGACUCAACGUUAAGCGCUUGGUUUCACAUCAAUUAAACACUGCAGAAAAUUUUCCAAUUGAGUUAUCACACAACUUCAAUUUUUUUCGGGUCGUGUUAUUACGUAAUAAAACAAAAGCACAGAAAUAAGAACCUAGAAAUCCAUUAUUGAACUAAGCCAAAAUGAGGUAAUUUAUCUAAAUUUCCAAAACAAAGGCAGAAAAAAUUAUUCCACUAAGCCUACUAAAAUUGCGGAAUUACAUUCAUCAGAACCGUCCAUGUGUAUGCCUUCAAGUGUGUAGAACAAUUGCGGAUUUUUGGCUCACAUACUUCGCAAUUCGAUCGGGGUUAGGAUUCUUGAGCUGAAUUUGGGGAUCAUGACAAAGAAGAAUGGCCGAUUGUUUGUUCACAUACUUUCGAUUCGAUUUUGCAGGUUAGGUGCUUGAGUUGAAGUUGGGAUUACAACCGAGAACAACGGUCGAUUCUUUGUUCCCAUACUUUGCGAAUCCAUUUUGGGGGUUAGGGUUCUUCAGGUGAACGUUGGGGAUCAAUUGAUUUGGGGAAGAAGAUUGGUUGAGAUGAAAUUAGGGUUCUUCGUGAAUGGGAGAGGAGCAAUUGAUUUUGGAGAAGAAUCUAAGUUUGGCAUCUAGUAGAAAGAUUUUGUUAAAUCGUGUUUGACGAAAAUUGUAAGUCGUGUUUGGUAAGGUUUAAGGCUUUU
RNAcentral lists this long non-coding RNA (730 nucleotides) under Olea europaea (common olive). RNAcentral describes it as "long non-coding RNA (OEUR_LNC010844)". The record is from RNAcentral. Lineage: Eukaryota; Viridiplantae; Streptophyta; Magnoliopsida; Lamiales; Oleaceae.